Molecule: ribosomal RNA, 594 nt
Filed under: bacterium 3a82709
Lineage: Bacteria
Description: bacterial SSU rRNA
Rfam family: Bacterial small subunit ribosomal RNA
Source: RNAcentral
GCGGCCUAUCAGCUUGUUGGUGGGGUGAUGGCCUACCAAGGCGGUGACGGGUAGCCGGCCUGAGAGGGCGACCGGCCACACUGGGACUGAGACACGGCCCAGACUCCUACGGGAGGCAGCAGUGGGGAAUAUUGCGCAAUGGGCGGAAGCCUGACGCAGCGACGCCGCGUGGGGGAUGACGGCCUUCGGGUUGUAAACCUCUUUCGCCAGGGACGAAGAGUGAUUGACGGUACCUGGAGAAGAAGCACCGGCCAACUACGUGCCAGCAGCCGCGGUAACACGUAGGGUGCGAGCGUUGUCCGGAAUUAUUGGGCGUAAAGAGCUCGUAGGCGGUGUGUCGCGUCGGCCGUGAAAACUUGGGGCUUAACUCUGAGCGUGCGGUCGAUACGGGCAUCACUUGAGUUCGGCAGGGGAGACUGGAAUUCCUGGUGUAGCGGUGAAAUGCGCAGAUAUCAGGAGGAACACCGGUGGCGAAGGCGGGUCUCUGGGCCGAUACUGACGCUGAGGAGCGAAAGCGUGGGGAGCGAACAGGAUUAGAUACCCUGGUAGUCCACGCCGUAAACGUUGGGCGCUAGGUGUGGGGACCAUUCCACG